AGAGUUUGAUCCUGGCUCAGAACGAACGCUGGCGGCAGGCUUAAUACAUGCAAGUCGAACGCACUCUUCGGAGUGAGUGGCAGACGGGUGAGUAACACGUGGGAACCUACCCAGGGGUACGGAAUAACUCAGGGAAACUUGUGCUAAUACCGUAUACGACCUAAGGGUGAAAGAUUUAUCGUCUCUGGAUGGGCCCGCGUUGGAUUAGCUAGUUGGUGGGGUAAAGGCCUACCAAGGCGACGAUCCAUAGCUGGUCUGAGAGGAUGAUCAGCCACACUGGGACUGAGACACGGCCCAGACUCCUACGGGAGGCAGCAGUAGGGAAUCUUGGACAAUGGGCGAAAGCCUGAUCCAGCCAUGCCGCGUGAGUGAUGAAGGCCUUAGGGUUGUAAAGCUCUUUCGCCAGGGAAGAUAAUGACGGUACCUGGAUAAGAAGCCCCGGCUAACUUCGUGCCAGCAGCCGCGGUAAUACGAAGGGGGCUAGCGUUGUUCGGAAUUACUGGGCGUAAAGCGCACGUAGGCGGUUUUCCAAGUUGGAGGUGAAAUCCCUGGGCUUAACCCAGGAACUGCCCCCAAAACUGGAUGACUCGAGUCCGAGAGAGGUGAGUGGAAUUUCCAGUGUAGAGGUGAAAUUCGUAGAUAUUGGAAAGAACACCAGUGGCGAAGGCGGCUCACUGGCUCGGUACUGACGCUGAGGUGCGACAGCGUGGGGAGCAAACAGGAUUAGAUACCCUAGUAGUCC
This 742-nucleotide ribosomal RNA is filed under the name uncultured bacterium. Its description in RNAcentral is "bacterial SSU rRNA". It matches the Rfam family "Bacterial small subunit ribosomal RNA", at positions 8 to 796 of the family's 1533-position model. The record is from RNAcentral.